RNAcentral lists this ribosomal RNA (189 nucleotides) under uncultured bacterium. RNAcentral describes it as "partial 16S ribosomal RNA". It matches the Rfam family "Bacterial small subunit ribosomal RNA", at positions 345 to 525 of the family's 1533-position model. The record is from RNAcentral.
GAGGCAGCAGUAGGGAAUUUUCCACAAUGGACGAAAGUCUGAUGGAGCAACGCCGCGUGAACGAUGAAGGUCUUCGGAUUGUAAAGUUCUGUUGUCAGGGACGAACACGUACCGUUCGAAUAGGGCGGUACCUUGACGGUACCUGACGAGAAAGCCACGGCUAACUACGUGCCAGCAGCCGCGGUAAUA